Molecule: ribosomal RNA, 253 nt
Filed under: uncultured bacterium
Lineage: Bacteria
Description: partial 16S ribosomal RNA
Rfam family: Bacterial small subunit ribosomal RNA
Source: RNAcentral
UACGUAGGGGGCAAGCGUUGUCCGGAUUUAUUGGGCGUAAAGAGCGUGUAGGCGGCUUUACAGGUCCGUUGUGAAAACUCGAGGCUCAACCUCGAGACGCCGGUGGAAACCGUAAAGCUAGAGUCCGGAAGAGGAGAGUGGAAUUCCUGGUGUAGCGGUGAAAUGCGCAGAUAUCAGGAAGAACACCCGUGGCGAAGGCGGCUCUCUGGGACGGUACUGACGCUGAGGAGCGAAAGCGUGGGUAGCAAACAGG